Non-coding RNA from Gracilinanus agilis (Agile Gracile Mouse Opossum), 384 nucleotides. Lineage: Eukaryota; Metazoa; Chordata; Mammalia; Didelphimorphia; Didelphidae. The record is from the annotation of a RefSeq genome assembly.
AUGGAGUUCCCUGUCCAGAUCCUGUUGAUGUUAGUGAUGCAGAUUCCUGGCUUAUAUGGAUCAAUUGUGAUGUCCCAAUCUCCUUCCUCUGUGUCUGUGUUUCCGGGAGAAAAAGUUACCAUGUUUUGUCAAACCAGUGAGCCUGUGAGUUACCUGUAUGGCCUUCGGACAUCCAGCAGUUUACACUGGUAUCAACAGAAACCAGGGCAAAGUCCUAAGCCAAUCAUCUAUAGAGAUUCCUACCUUAAGGAAGGUGUCCCAGAAAGAUUUGCUGGUGGAGGAGGUCACAUGGAUUUCACUCUUACUAUCAAUGGUUUUGAAGUUGAAGAUGCUGCUACCUAUUACUGUCUGCAAAGUGAAGAAUGGCCUCCCACAAUGAUAUAA